RNAcentral lists this ribosomal RNA (253 nucleotides) under uncultured bacterium. RNAcentral's name for it is "partial 16S ribosomal RNA". It matches the Rfam family "Bacterial small subunit ribosomal RNA", at positions 524 to 776 of the family's 1533-position model. The record is from RNAcentral.
UACGAGGGGGGCUAGCGUUGCUCGGAAUGACUGGGCGUAAAGGGCGCGUAGGCGGCUUGCACCGUCAGAUGUGAAAUUCCUGGGCUUAACCUGGGGGCUGCAUUUGAUACGUGUGGGCUUGAGUGCGGAAGAGGGUCGUGGAAUUCCCAGUGUAGAGGUGAAAUUCGUAGAUAUUGGGAAGAACACCGGUGGCGAAGGCGGCGACCUGGUCCGUGACUGACGCUGAGGCGCGAAAGCGUGGGGAGCAAACGGG